GGAAUUUAAGUUUCAAAGGAAUUUGAUGUACUUUUAUAAGAACAAUUGGACUAAACAAAAUCUUGCGUUUUUUUUUUGGGAUUUUGGAUCUAUUCAAAUACACUUCCUGGUUUUAAAGUUCUCAUACAAUGGUAUGCAAUAUAUGAUUGAUUGAAGUGGGAGUCUCUUGAUUUUUUUUAAUAUAUAUAUAUAUUUUUUGUGUUUGCG
This 207-nucleotide long non-coding RNA is filed under the name Brassica rapa (field mustard). RNAcentral describes it as "long non-coding RNA (BRAP_LNC004623)". The record is from RNAcentral. Lineage: Eukaryota; Viridiplantae; Streptophyta; Magnoliopsida; Brassicales; Brassicaceae.